GGGGAUGAUCGGUUUCGACAUUGCCUGCAAAACCACGAGAAGCGGGUCGAGGAUGCAGUCUUAUCUCGUAAACGAUGGCUGCAAAACAUAAGUGCCAAUUCCAAGCGCACUGACUUCGCUCUCGCUGCCUAAGCGAGCGCACUAAAGAAGUUCGUCAGACCGGGGAUGCCCUCUACCCGGAUCCUGGCGUCAUCUAGAGGGAUUGCUUCGCAGUUGCGCCUCAGGGCUGCGGGGGACUUGCACUGAUGCUGGGCUUGUUGACCUAGAUGCUUGUGGCAAAGGUCAGAGCCGAGUAGAACGCUUGCACAAGCUACGCCCGUAGAAGGCGUGGAAUUACAGCAAUGGACGGGGGUUCAAUUCCCCCCAUCUCCACCA
This 375-nucleotide transfer-messenger RNA is filed under the name Salinibacterium sp. It matches the Rfam family "transfer-messenger RNA". From Rfam's summary of the family: Bacterial tmRNA, also known as 10Sa RNA or SsrA, is named for its dual tRNA and mRNA-like properties. The record is from RNAcentral. Lineage: Bacteria; Bacillati; Actinomycetota; Actinomycetes; Micrococcales; Microbacteriaceae.